This is a long non-coding RNA of Cyprinus carpio carpio, 2664 nucleotides long. The record is from Ensembl. NCBI's taxonomy places the organism in Eukaryota, Metazoa, Chordata, Actinopteri, Cypriniformes, Cyprinidae.
UGGGAACAGAUGGACAGGCUGAAAAGGACGAAGGAGAAAUUGUGGCAGGCAAGUCAGAAUCUGAACAAUGUCCUGAUGAAGAGGAGGAAAUGGAGUCUAAAGCAGACAGAAGGACAGGUGGCUUAAGAUGUUUCCAAGGAAACAGAGAGACCUCGGAGGAUGAGCCUAGUGAACUGGGGGCUGCUGUUAUUACUUCCUCUGAGCCUGUAUUUCUUGUGCCUCAGCUCAGCUCACAACCUCAGUACCUGGACUGUGACUUUGAUGUGGAGCUAACAGCAGAAGUGAUAGUCGAGAAUGGCGCAUCUCUUGCUUUGUUGACAUCUGUUACCCCAAAUCUUGGUUACCAGAAGCCAGGAUCCUUCUUAAAUGGAAAUUUUCUCUUCCCACCAUCUUUAAAGAAAAAGAGAGUUUCUAUAGAACGUUUUCUGCCUGCAGGCUCUUUUCCUGGAUGUUACUCAAGUGUGACUCAAGCCUCAGGACUGACCUGUUCCCUCAAAAACUCUGAUAGGGUCAUAGAGAUGGCCAAAAGCCCUCUACCCUCAUCACCCUCCAACUCACCAUCAUCUCCUUCAUCUGCUCCCUCUUCCCCCUCGUCCUCCCCCUCAUCUUCAUCUCCUGGUGGAAUGGGUACAAACUACCGUGAGGAUGAGGACAGAGGCAAUGCUGGAGACAGCAGGGUCAACAAAGGAACUGGAGACUUUGUGUCAUCCACUUCAUCCUCUUUGGUGCCAUCGUCAAUGCCAGUGCCACCGUCUUCUUCCUCUAAUCCCUCACUUCAUGCAUCUUCAUCAUUCACACAUCCAUGCAAUGAUGGACAGAGGGAGAGUUUAGAGAAUGACAUAUACGACCCCUUUCACCCAACAGAGGGUGAGGGGGAGAGAGACCGGGUGUCCACUGAGGACGAGGAGGAAGAGGUUGAUAAGUAUGAUCCAUUUGAACCGACAGGUUCUCCAGCCUCUGAAACAGAGGAGGAAAAAAGAUGUGUGGAUGAGGAGAAUGAAGGAGGAAGCAGCAUUAAUAGCAGAGGGAAUGUUGCAAAAGCUGAUAGAGCAUUGGAAAAGGGGACGCCUGCUGGCACAGAGGGGGGUCAUCCAGAUUCAACAGAAAUUGACGCCCCAUCUUCAAUGUUCUAUAAUGUCCCUUUAGAACUCAACAGUAAGCGAUCCAUCAAAGACAGAAUAAGGGAACAGGGAAAAAAUCAAAGAGAACGGGCAACAGACUCUGAACACUCUGAGAUAGAAGAAGGAGAGAUAGUGGGAGCCAAUGAAAGAGGAAGAGAACGAGUGAUUGAGAGAAGGAGGGAGGUGUUGCUUCCAUCUUCAAGCAGUCCCUCUUACCUUCAAGCAGGUAUCCCAAAACCUGAGAGGAUCUUAAGGGUUUUAGAGGGUGAUGGGUUUGUAUCUGUCCGUGCUGAUGAAGAAUGGGAGAGGGAGCCAGUAGCUUCUGUGGGCGUCGGAGAUCUGAGACGAAAACUGACAAGUAGGAGGAAAGAGAGGUUCAGAUCAUGCCCUUCUUCUGCAUCCAUAUCACCUCCACCUGUUCCUGUUUUGCCUUUGCCCUCUCCUUCCUUUACCAAUUCUCCACCUCUGUCCACUGAUAAAGGGAGGAGUCGCAAAUCCUCCAAGAGUUCAAAGGACAGGGACAGACGCAAGCGGAAAGAGGGAAGAGUAGAGAAGGAAAAGAGGAAAAAAAGGAAAGAAGAAAAGGAGUCAGCUGAGAGUAAAAGAGAAAGCAAAGAGAGGGACAGUGAAAAAAGGAGUAUAAAAGAGAACAAAGACAAGGAUAGGGAUAGAGGGAGAAGUAGCCGAAGUGAUAGCCACAAGAGGAAAAAGAGACACAGGAGCACUCCAGAACAUUCCUCCCGCUCCCACUCCCAGAAUGCCUCACGACACACACAGAGUCAGAGAUCUUGGUCCAGCCACUCUGAGGAUCGCCACAAAGAUAGAGACCGAGAUAAAGAGAGGGAAAGAGAACCAGAAAGGAACCAUGAAAGAGACAGGGAUAGGGACCGGUGGCGAGAUGACAGGGGUAGAGAACGAGACGGAGACUCCAGGAGAAGAGAUGAACGAAGGAGAGAUAGGGAUGAUGAUAUCAGAAGGUCAAGCAGCCGAGAGAGAGGCAGUACAAAGAGGAGCAGAGGAAGUGACAGUGACAGGAGAGAACGAGAGAAAGAGAUGGUAGGAGAAAGAGAUCGAGACAGGGACAGGAGAAGAGAUAUUAGACCUGUUGUACCCCCGUCCAUUCAGGAUCUCAAUGGCUCUGAUCUUUUUGCGAUCAAACGUACCAUCACUGUUACCACCACUACAACAACCACCACACUACCAGGUUCACCACCCCAUAGCCAACGGCACUCCCGCAGCCGAUCCCAGAGCUCAGACAAACAUCGUAAGAGGAAGAAGAAACGAAAGAGACGAUCAGAUGAUGAGGAAAGAAAGGACGAGGAGCAUAGGAGCAGGUCCCGGCCCACCUCCCUCACUCCUCUUCGUUAUCAUGGAUAUGAAUCAGAUCGACUCUCAGAUCGUCCUGAGGUAGACCUGCUCUCUUUGGAUGGGGAAGCACUGGAUUCAGACUACCCUUCACUAGAGGACUCACCACUACUUCCUCCUCCUCCUGAGCCCCCUCUACCCAAUCCUAAAAUUAAAUCCGGAGCGCCCAAAACUAGCC